This 72-nucleotide transfer RNA is filed under the name Prasinoderma coloniale. RNAcentral's name for it is "tRNA-Glu". It matches the Rfam family "tRNA". From Rfam's summary of the family: Transfer RNA (tRNA) molecules are approximately 80 nucleotides in length. Their secondary structure includes four short double-helical elements and three loops (D, anti-codon, and T loops). The record is from RNAcentral. Lineage: Eukaryota; Viridiplantae; Prasinodermophyta; Prasinodermophyceae; Prasinodermales; Prasinodermaceae.
GCUCCCUUCGUCUAGGGGUUAGGACAUAACCUUUUCGAGGUUGAAACACGGGUUCGAAUCCCGUAGGGAGCA